This 253-nucleotide ribosomal RNA is filed under the name uncultured bacterium. RNAcentral describes it as "partial 16S ribosomal RNA". It matches the Rfam family "Bacterial small subunit ribosomal RNA", at positions 524 to 776 of the family's 1533-position model. The record is from RNAcentral.
UACAGAGGGGGCAAGCGUUGUCCGGAUUUAUUGGGCGUAAAGAGCGUGUAGGCGGCCAUACAGGUCCGUUGUGAAAACUCGAGGCUCAACCUCGAGACGUCGAUGGAAACCGUAUGGCUAGAGUCCGGAAGAGGAGAGUGGAAUUCCUGGUGUAGCGGUGAAAUGCGUAGAGAUGUGGAGGAACACCGAUGGCGAAGGCAGCCUCCUGGGCCAACACUGACGCUCAUGCACGAAAGCGUGGGGAGCAAACAGG